UUCACAAAAUUUCACAAAGGA
Molecule: non-coding RNA, 21 nt
Filed under: Caenorhabditis elegans
Lineage: Eukaryota; Metazoa; Nematoda; Chromadorea; Rhabditida; Rhabditidae
Source: RNAcentral